GUGGGUAUAGCUCAGUGUUAGAGCCCAUGCUUAGCAUGCACGAGGUCCUGAGUUCAAUCCCCAGUACCUCCA
Molecule: transfer RNA, 72 nt
Filed under: Camelus bactrianus (Bactrian camel)
Lineage: Eukaryota; Metazoa; Chordata; Mammalia; Artiodactyla; Camelidae
Also listed under: 1 other name
Rfam family: tRNA
About the family: Transfer RNA (tRNA) molecules are approximately 80 nucleotides in length.
Source: Rfam by way of RNAcentral